UACGUAGGGCGCAAGCGUUGUCCGGAAUUAUUGGGCGUAAAGCGCACGUAGGCGGCUUAGCAAGUCGGAAGUGAAAUCCCACGGCUCAACCAUGGAAGUGCUUUCGAAACUGCUGAGCUUGAGUACGAAAGAGGAUCGCGGAAUUCCCGGUGUAGAGGUGAAAUUCGUAGAUAUCGGGAGGAACACCAGUGGCGAAGGCGGCGAUCUGGGUCGAUACUGACGCUGAGGUGCGAAAGCGUGGGGAGCAAACAGG
RNAcentral lists this ribosomal RNA (253 nucleotides) under uncultured bacterium. RNAcentral's name for it is "partial 16S ribosomal RNA". It matches the Rfam family "Bacterial small subunit ribosomal RNA", at positions 524 to 776 of the family's 1533-position model. The record is from RNAcentral.